UCAGUGGCUGUCCAGGCCUUUCAGAGCCACUCACACACCAGCAGCACAAUGAUGAUGUCACUGACUCUACUGCUGGCCACCCUGGGGCUCCUUGUUCAGGGUUCAUCAGGAGAACAAGUGCUGACUCAGUCUCCUGGAUCUCAGUCUGUUGUUCUUGGACAGACUGUCUCUGUCAGAUGUAAAGCCAGUUCAAGUGUUGGCAGCUGCCUCAACUGGUACCUUCAAAAGGACGGAGAAUCUCCCAAACUCUUAAUUUAUUCUGCUAGCAACCGUCAGUCUGGAGUUUCUGAUCGUUUCAGUGGACGUGGAUCUGGGACUGACUUCACUCUGACUAUCAGCAGAGUUCAGGCUGAAGAUGCAGGAGUUUAUUACUGUCAGCAGUGUAACAGCUUCCCGUUCACACAGUGAUACAACGCUGUACAAAAACCUCACACAUCUGGAGAGGAACUGAGAAUAAAGAUCAUCUGAACUGUCAGCUGCUGAG
Molecule: non-coding RNA, 484 nt
Organism: Pelmatolapia mariae (spotted tilapia)
Lineage: Eukaryota; Metazoa; Chordata; Actinopteri; Cichliformes; Cichlidae
Source: the annotation of a RefSeq genome assembly